UAGUAUGGAUGUAAUUUAUUGUCUAGUUUCUAUACAUGGACAUUUAUAUUGAUUCCAAUCUUUUGCCAUUUCAUACAGUAGAGAAAUAAACAUCAUCAUGCAUACAUCUUUGCAUAUGUGGGAAUGAUUCCACAGGAUAAAUGCCUAGAAGUAGAAUUGUAAAACAAGGGCUUCAUAAAACAUAAUGAUAACCACAUAUAAAUGGUGAUGGAGGUAAGUUUCUCCUUUUUUUGUGGUUAAAGUCUUUUAUCCUUAAUUUUUCUUUUUUGUUGUUGUUGUUCAAGUCUUUUGGUUUCUCUUAUUUUCUAAAAUAACAAGGAAGUAAUGAUUACAAAGACACUAUUUGUACAACCCUACAAUCCCAGGAAGAUCUACAGUUUGCAUAGGUGGGUAUAGCAAGUUGCUAACUGGACCUGCCAUUGAAAUAGUCACCACAAUAAACAAAGAAAAUUCCAAGAGUCCUGCAUUAGGGAAUUGUACUGCCAGUGACUAGGUCUUCACUUGGUGGUAUUGUGAGUGCAUGGGUCCAGACUUAUGAUUCUGACAAUUAAGGGAAAAGGAAUUUUCUUUAUGCUCUGUGUAUUUGUGUAUGUGUGUGGCAUGGGUGGGUUGGGCGUGGGGUGGGUAGCGAGCAGGAGAUGAAAGGUGCCUGAGGUAAAAAGGAUGCACAGGACCCUUUGAUUUUAGUCCCUAAAAAUUGGCUUCAUAACCUUUCACAGGCCACAUCCCUUUUAUGGGCUCUAGUUUCCCUUUAAAACAUAAAAGGUUUGUGUUGGAAAGGAAAAGGAGUAUUUAAAGCCACAAAGCCGACUUAUAUUACCUAAGGAGAGAAUGCAGAUAGAGAGGGAGAGGAGCUCAAGAUGGCUGGCUGACAUCUGGGCCUGCCCAACAUUGAGAAAUUUGGGAGGGGAGCCAGCAAAGGGGCCUGGGAGCAGCAGUUCCGGACAAAAAGGAGAACGUGACAUCCAGAGAACCAAGAGAAAAAGUGGCUGAAGGAGUGCUCAGCACUGGCAUCUCAGCUGAAUGCUGCGGCAGGCUCAGGGGCCACAAACAAUAGGGAGCUGGUGGAGGCCUUGACGAAGACCAUUUCAACAAACUGAUGGGCUUAAAAUCAAGAAGAAAGUUUGUUUAAACAGUUAAUGAACAAAUCAUUUUGACGCCUUUUAUAAACCACACAAGCUUAUUCCAAACCCGUUACUGGCCUAAUUGAUUGAAGUCCCUUUCCGACCUGAUCCUCAGAGAGUCUAAGGGACUUGGCCUAUCCACGACUCUUCCUCUUGCUUCUCACCUCCCAAGAUUGCCCUCAGGAUGUGAAAGUGCUUUCAAACAAAGAUGCCCAACAAAGAAGCUGGGCAAAUGUGCAAGAAUUAGUUUGUAUUAAUCUAUUACUGUAUUUCACCUUGCACUCUCCUUCGUGCUUCGUGCUUCGUUUCCUUCGUGCUCCCUCAAUAUCCAACUCUUAAUAAAUUCAUGGCUCCCGGUGAGCAUUCACCACUUCUGAUUCCACGCCUUUA
Molecule: long non-coding RNA, 1514 nt
Filed under: Macaca fascicularis (crab-eating macaque)
Lineage: Eukaryota; Metazoa; Chordata; Mammalia; Primates; Cercopithecidae
Description: lncRNA (ENSMFAG00000064460.1)
Source: RNAcentral